RNAcentral lists this long non-coding RNA (1375 nucleotides) under Malus domestica (apple). RNAcentral's name for it is "long non-coding RNA (MDOM_LNC016119)". The record is from RNAcentral. Lineage: Eukaryota; Viridiplantae; Streptophyta; Magnoliopsida; Rosales; Rosaceae.
CCAAAAAUUAUUUUAAAAAUAUGGGGAUGAUCCUGAGGUUGUGUAGGUCACUGUGGUAUAUUCAUAUACCCAAUUUGAGCAUCGUAUGAAGAAUUAAUUACCUAGUUUGGUUUAGGUGCGUUAAAUGUGCGUUAAAUGAUUGUUUUAAGUUAUUUCACUUCUAGGUGGAACUUAUAACGAGGACGAGCACAUCCAGGGGCGUCAAGGGGGUUACGACCCGGCGACAUACCAGUGAGUGGGCAUUGCUUUCUAUAUAUAUAUACCUAUAUACUCGAUUUCCCCAGAAAUCAAAUUUAAAUGAAAAAUAUAUUUGAAAUGAAAUGAAAUAUGAUGUGAUUGCCAUGCAUAGAAUGUUAUGGAUAUUAUGAACUGUCGUAUGAUGCAUAUAUGUAUGAUGGUGCUGUGGACGCACAGGUAAGUAUUUAAUUACUGUUAUGUUGAGGAUGAUGAUAUAUUGAGCUCAUAUCCUGCACCAUGGUUUAGUGCUUAUAGUAUUCACCGCAUCGCACGCUCGCCUUGGAUCCAAGUAGAUGCUGGUCGUACAGUCCACGCGGAGUGGGUACGACGGGCCAGUCGUAGAGUGUUAGUGAGAUUAUGACUGGUGGGUGACCUUAGGUUAUUGUAUACAGAUGAUUGAUGAGAGAAGCACUAGAGCGAAUAUUACCAUGAGUCGUUCAGACUACAUUAGGUGGUUCCGACUUAUGUGCAGAAGGCCGGACAGGUCACGCGGAGUGACUCCGGCAGAGAGUGAGAUUGAUAGAUGUUGAGCUCUAGGUUCAAUCGUUCAGGGCUAUUAGAGGGCCUCCGAUUGAUUAUUUCUUUUACCUGAUUAUAUUAUGUUAAUGCAUUCAUACUACACUGUUGAAAUUGGCAUGGUACAUUCUUUAUUGAAUCUGUUAUAAGAUUGAUGAUUGAGACAGUUGAGAUAUAUAUGCUAUAUACUAUUUUUCUGGGAAAGUAUACAGGUUUUCCAAAAAGGGGUUAUAAAUGUGGAUUUAUGAAAUGUUUUGGAAAAGCUUUAUUUUCGCCCACUCACGUUUUCUGUUUUUUCGCCCCUCCAGGUUCUAGUUGAUAGUUGAGGCGUUGGUGGCCUACGAGACUGCUUCGGCGUUCUGACAGACUAAAUAAAUGUAGGAUUCACCCGAGGGUGUUGUAAAUUAGUUAUGUUCCUACUUGACUGCACCUAGAUGCUUAUGCUCUGUUUAUGUGUGUUUAGUACACUCUUAUGCACAUAGAAUGCUCGGUUGUAAAUAACUGCAAUUAGUGGUUUUCGUUGACUCGUAUUUUAUUAUUAAAUCGUUUCCGCUUGCGUUAUGGUUACGUCACACUCACGUGACGGCCAGCACGUCCUAGUCUUCGGGUUAGGGUGUGUCAG